This 253-nucleotide ribosomal RNA is filed under the name uncultured bacterium. RNAcentral describes it as "partial 16S ribosomal RNA". It matches the Rfam family "Bacterial small subunit ribosomal RNA", at positions 524 to 776 of the family's 1533-position model. The record is from RNAcentral.
UACGUAGGCAGCGAGCGUUGUUCGGAGUUACUGGGCGUAAAGCGUGCGUAGGCGGUGGUCCAAGUCUGGUGUGAAAUCUCCCGGCUCAACUGGGAAGGUGCGCCGGAAACUGGGCCGCUGGAGUACGGGAGAGGCAAGCGGAAUUCCAGGUGUAGCGGUGAAAUGCGUAGAUAUCUGGAGGAACACCCGUGGUGCAGACGGCUUGCUGGACCGUGACUGACGCUGAGGCACGAAAGCGUGGGUAGCAAACAGG